CGGGGCGGGCGGAGGGCUCGGGAGGCGCAGGGGACUGGAAGAGUUGGCUGCGCCCAGGCACCAGGUGGAAGAAUUUCCAUACCAGCCCUGCGGAGGUGCCUCUGUUUCCAGAGGCGUUUUUGUACGAAGGGCAUUUUGAAAGCGAAGCAGAAGCCGUAGAAUCAGCGGCGAGCCUGUUGAAAGAACCCACAGGUGCAUUUCACAGCACUCUGGGCGAAAAUUGGAUGUGAAAAUGAAGCCAGACCGAGAAACGAGGUCUCACUCUGUUGCUCAGCCUGGUCUUAAACUCAUGUCCUCAAGCAAUCUUCCUGUAUCAGCCUCCUAAAGUCUGGAAUUACAAGCAUGAGCCACCAUGCCUGGCCUCCACUAUCCCUUUCUGUUUGUGGUGGUCUCCUAUAUUUUGAGUUUGAAUGGGAAGGGAGCAUGCAUGUUUGAUGGUUUGUUUUGUUUUUGUGAAUGAAGAAUGAAAAUUUAUUCCCAUUAAGUGCGAGCUUCAAUUGAGGCACUCAGUUUAUGAGGUCUUACUGAUGUUUCCUCUCUUAGGUGCUGUAGUUAAAAUCUUGCUGGUCUAAAAUGGUGAAAACUAUUGAGGUAUUCAAAUGAUAAGUACUUUAUAAACUGAAAUUGCAUUGAAAACGGAGAGCUCUUGACAGAAAGGUUGACUCUAGCAUUUAUAUAAGGAAAAAGACAACUAUUAUCUCCCUCUACACAGAAAGCUAUAUUCAGUAGUUAUAGGAUUUGUACAUUGUGAAUCCUUAGGGAUCUCUAAACAUCUGUGUCUUUAGAAGUAGUGUCACCUCUAGUAAAAGAGGGCCAGUAGAAUUGAGUGGUGGCAGCCUGUGAUGUAUAUGAAUUUUGGCUGUACGUCUCUAGCGACUAUUUUCUCCAACUCUAUUUAGUAAAAUUCUACCUAAUU
RNAcentral lists this long non-coding RNA (916 nucleotides) under Homo sapiens (human). RNAcentral's name for it is "non-protein coding lnc-ONECUT1-5:1". Lineage: Eukaryota; Metazoa; Chordata; Mammalia; Primates; Hominidae. The record is from RNAcentral.